This 72-nucleotide transfer RNA is filed under the name bacterium CG2_30_54_10. RNAcentral's name for it is "tRNA-Thr". It matches the Rfam family "tRNA". Rfam says of the family: Transfer RNA (tRNA) molecules are approximately 80 nucleotides in length. Their secondary structure includes four short double-helical elements and three loops (D, anti-codon, and T loops). RNAcentral also lists the same sequence under 1 other name. The record is from RNAcentral.
GCCGGCGUAGCUCAGUGGUAGAGCAACUGAUUCGUAAUCAGUAGGUCGUAGGUUCAACUCCUAUCGCCGGCU